Molecule: long non-coding RNA, 172 nt
Organism: Telopea speciosissima
Lineage: Eukaryota; Viridiplantae; Streptophyta; Magnoliopsida; Proteales; Proteaceae
Exons: 4
Source: RefSeq, a predicted model, not a curated record
CCAAUCUGUACAAGCGUCUUGUAGCUACUUUGGAUUCUAAAAAGUUCUUGAGCAAACUUGAGUCACUCCAUCAAGAAUCAUUGGAUGUGGCUAGCAAUAAUUUUCCUUUCAAAGAAGUCACAGGUGCUGAUUUGCAAACAGUGAAAAUUCUGGUUAAUCUUGAGCGUGAAGA